RNAcentral lists this transfer RNA (76 nucleotides) under Caenimonas koreensis DSM 17982. RNAcentral's name for it is "tRNA-Asp". The record is from RNAcentral. Lineage: Bacteria; Pseudomonadati; Pseudomonadota; Betaproteobacteria; Burkholderiales; Comamonadaceae.
GCGGACGUAGCUCAGUCGAAAGAGCGCGAGGGUGUCACUCUCGAGGUCGUGGAUUCAACAUCCACCGUUCGCUCCA